RNAcentral lists this long non-coding RNA (1744 nucleotides) under Homo sapiens (human). RNAcentral's name for it is "non-protein coding lnc-SLC19A1-11:1". The record is from RNAcentral. Lineage: Eukaryota; Metazoa; Chordata; Mammalia; Primates; Hominidae.
CGGACAACUUGUUAUUGUGAUAUAAUUUCAAACCUUGAAAAAAGUGUACAAGCAUUAAAAAGAACAUCUACAUAUCCUUUACCUCAUUUAUCCAAUUACUUAUAUUCCGGCCCAUCUGUGUGUCAUGAAUUCGUCCAUGCACACUUUCACUCUCUCUACAGAUCCACGCAUUCAACCAUGUACACAUCCAUUCACUCUCUCUAUGGAUCCAUGCAUUCAUCCAUGUACGCAUUCACCCUCUCUACAGAUCCAUGCAUUCAUCCAUGUACACAUCCAUUCACUCUCUCUAUGGAUCCAUGCAUUCAUCCAUGUACGCAUUCACUCUCUCUACAGAUCCAUGCAUUCAUCCAUGUACACAUCCAUUCACUCUCUCUAUGGAUCCAUGCAUUCAUCCAUGUACGCAUUCACUCUCUCUACAGAUCCAUGCAUUCAUCCAUGUACACAUCCAUUCACUCUCUCUACGGAUCCAUGUAUUCAUCCAUGUACGCAUUCACUCUCUCUACAGAUCCAUGCAUUCAUCCAUGUACACAUCCAUUCACUCUCUCUAUGGAUCCAUGCAUUCAUCCAUGUACACAUCCAUUCACUCUCUCUACAGAUCCAUGCAUUCAUCCAUGUACACAUCCAUUCACUCUCUCUAUGGAUCCAUGCAUUCAUCCAUGUACACAUCCAUUCGCUCUCUCUAUGGAUCCAUGCAUUCAUCCAUGUACACAUCCAUUCACUCUCUCUAUGGAUCCAUGCAUUCAUCCAUGUACGCAUCCAUUCACUCUCUCUAUGGAUCCAUGCAUUCAUCCAUCCAUGCAUUCACUCUCUCUACAGAUCCAUGCAUUCAUCCAUGUAUGCAUCCAUUCACUCUCUCUAUGGAUCCAUGCAUUCAUCCAUGUACCCAUCCAUUCACUCUCUCUACGGAUCCAUGCAUUCAUCCAUGUACACAUCCAUUCACUCUCUCUAUGGAUCCAUGCAUUCAUCCAUGUACGCAUACAUUCACUCUAUGGAUCCAUGCAUUCAUCCAUGUACGCAUCCAUUCACUCUCUCUAUGGAUCCAUGCAUUCAUCCAUGUACACAUCCAUUCACUCUCUCUAUGGAUCCAUGCAUUCAUCCAUCCAUGCAUUCACUCUCUCUAUGGAUCCAUGCAUUCGUCCAUCCAUGCAAUCACUCUCUCUAUGGAUCCAUGCAUCUGUCCAUCCAUGCAUUCAGUCUCUACGGAUCCAUGUACUCAUCUAUCCAUGCAUUACACUCUCUCUAUGGAUCCAUGCACUCGUCUAUCCAUGCAUUCACUCUCUGUGGAUCCAUGCACUCGUCCAUCCACGCAUUCACUCUCUCUACAGAUCCACGCACUCAACUAUCCAUGCAUUCACUCUCUGUGGAUCCAUGCACUUGUCCAUCCAUGCAUUCACUCUCUCUAUGGACCUAUGCACUCGUCCAUCCACGCAUUCACUCUCUGUGGAUCCAUGCAUUCGUCCAUCCAUGCAUUCAUCCAUCCAUGCACACAUUCACUUUCUUUAUGGAUUCAUGCAUCCAUCCAUCUAGCAUUCACAUUCACUUUCUCUACGGAUCCAUACAUCUGUCCAUCCACAUAUUUACUAUCUCUGUAGGCCCAUACACCACGCUCUUUCACCCCAAAUACUGUACCAUGUGUUUCCCCAAAACAACAUCCAGAUAACCACAGUGCAAUGAUCAAAAUCAGAACAUGAGCACUGAGCCAGUAUUACCACCUAAUUCUCGGCUGAUUCUCCAUGGCCUGUCC